CAAGACAACUUUACGGAGUUGACGAUUGACGGAGCGAAGCGACGUCAAAGCGUUCAUUAAAGUCGAGUUGGCUUAGGGAUACGUUCGUUGGGUAGGGGAGCGUUCUGUAAGCCUGUGAAGGUGGCCUGUGAGGGUUGCUGGAGGUAUCAGAAGUGCGAAUGCUGACAUAAGUAACGAUAAAGCGGGUGAAAAGCCCGCUCGCCGGAAGACCAAGGGUUCCUGUCCAACGUUAAUCGGGGCAGGGUGAGUCGACCCCUAAGGCGAGGCCGAAAGGCGUAGUCGAUGGGAAACGGGUUAAUAUUCCCGUACUUGGUGUUACUGCGAAGGGGGGACGGAGAAGGCUAUGUUGGCCGGGCGACGGUUGUCCCGGUUUAAGCGUGUAGGCUGGUUUUCCAGGCAAAUCCGGAAAAUCAAGGCUGAGGCGUGACGACGAGGCACUACGGUGCUGAAGCAACAAAUGCCCUGCUUCCAGGAAAAGCCUCUAAGCAUCAGGUAACACGAAAUCGUACCCCAAACCGACACAGGUGGUCAGGUAGAGAAUACCAAGGCGCUUGAGAGAACUCGGGUGAAGGAACUAGGCAAAAUGGUGCCGUAACUUCGGGAGAAGGCACGCUGACACGUAGGUGAAGUGAUUUACUCAUGGAGCUGAAGUCAGUCGAAGAUACCAGCUGGCUGCAACUGUUUAUUAAAAACACAGCACUGUGCAAACACGAAAGUGGACGUAUACGGUGUGACGCCUGCCCGGUGCCGGAAGGUUAAUUGAUGGGGUCAGCGCAAGCGAAGCUCCUGAUCGAAGCCCCGGUAAACGGCGGCCGUAACUAUAACGGUCCUAAGGUAGCGAAAUUCCUUGUCGGGUAAGUUCCGACCUGCACGAAUGGCGUAAUGAUGGCCAGGCUGUCUCCACCCGAGACUCAGUGAAAUUGAACUCGCUGUGAAGAUGCAGUGUACCCGCGGCAAGACGGAAAGACCCCGUGAACCUUUACUAUAGCUUGACACUGAACAUUGAGCCUUGAUGUGUAGGAUAGGUGGGAGGCUUUGAAGUGUGGACGCCAGUCUGCAUGGAGCCGACCUUGAAAUACCACCCUUUAAUGUUU
RNAcentral lists this ribosomal RNA (1094 nucleotides) under Salmonella enterica. Its description in RNAcentral is "partial 23S ribosomal RNA". It matches the Rfam family "Bacterial large subunit ribosomal RNA", at positions 1163 to 2215 of the family's 2925-position model. The record is from RNAcentral. Lineage: Bacteria; Pseudomonadati; Pseudomonadota; Gammaproteobacteria; Enterobacterales; Enterobacteriaceae.